CCUACGGGAGGCAGCAGUAGGGAAUAUUGCUCAAUGGGGGAAACCCUGAAGCAGCAACGCCGCGUGGAGGAUGAAGGUUUUCGGAUUGUAAACUCCUUUUGUUAGAGAAGAUAAUGACGGUAUCUAACGAAUAAGCACCGGCUAACUCCGUGCCAGCAGCCGCGGUAAUACGGAGGGUGCAAGCGUUACUCGGAAUCACUGGGCGUAAAGAGCGCGUAGGCGGGAUAGCAAGUCAGAUGUGAAAGCCUAUGGCUUAACCAUAGAACUGCAUUUGAAACUGUUAUUCUAGAGUAUGGGAGAGGUAGGUGGAAUUCUUGGUGUAGGGGUAAAAUGCGUAGAGAUCAAGAGGAAUACUCAUUGCGAAGGCGACCUGCUAGAACAUAACUGACGCUGAGGCGCGAAAGCGUGGGGAGCAAACAGGAUUAGAUACCCCAGUAGUC
RNAcentral lists this ribosomal RNA (440 nucleotides) under uncultured bacterium. Its description in RNAcentral is "partial 16S ribosomal RNA". It matches the Rfam family "Bacterial small subunit ribosomal RNA", at positions 338 to 795 of the family's 1533-position model. The record is from RNAcentral.